Molecule: ribosomal RNA, 427 nt
Filed under: uncultured bacterium
Lineage: Bacteria
Description: partial 16S ribosomal RNA
Rfam family: Bacterial small subunit ribosomal RNA
Source: RNAcentral
UGGGGAAUAUUGCACAAUGGGCGCAAGCCUGAUGCAGCCAUGCCGCGUGUAUGAAGAAGGCCUUCGGGUUGUAAAGUACUUUCAGCGGGGAGGAAGGUGUUGUGGUUAAUAACCACAGCAAUUGACGUUACCCGCAGAAGACGCACCGGCUAACUCCGUGCCAGCAGCCGCGGUAAUACGGAGGGUGCAAGCGUUAAUCGGAAUUACUGGGCGUAAAGCGCACGCAGGCGGUCUGUCAAGUCGGAUGUGAAAUCCCCGGGCUCAACCUGGGAACUGCAUCCGAAACUGGCAGGCUUGAGUCUUGUAGAGGGGGGUAGAAUUCCAGGUGUAGCGGUGAAAUGCGUAGAGAUCUGGAGGAAUACCGGUGGCGAAGGCGGCCCCCUGGACAAAGACUGACGCUCAGGUGCGAAAGCGUGGGGAGCAAACA